Non-coding RNA from Pelobates cultripes (western spadefoot toad), 224 nucleotides. NCBI's taxonomy places the organism in Eukaryota, Metazoa, Chordata, Amphibia, Anura, Pelobatidae. The record is from the annotation of a GenBank genome assembly.
GUCCAAUGGCACUCCUCUGAGACGUCAUGUCCUCUAGCUCCGGCCCAUUUCGUUCCGACAUGUCACUUCCUGUGACGUGUAUAUUAUAGUUCCAUAUAGGUCAUGUGAUCGACGCACGGAACGUCCAUUAGAGAUAGGGCAAAAUGCCCUGAGUUCAUCAUAUUUACACAUCCGGAUACAGCAAAAGAAGGGAGUAUAGGAUAAAAUAAAGAAAUCAUUACUAA